Molecule: ribosomal RNA, 773 nt
Filed under: uncultured archaeon
Lineage: Archaea
Description: bacterial SSU rRNA
Rfam family: Archaeal small subunit ribosomal RNA
Source: RNAcentral
CGGUUGAUCCUGCCGGACCUGACUGCUAUCGGAUUGGUACUAAGCCAUGUGAGUCAUUGUAGCAAUACAAGGCAUACGGCUCAGUAACACGUAGUCAAUCUGCCCUAUGGACGUGGAUAACCUCGGGAAACUGAGAAUAAUCCGCGAUAGAUCAUAAUGCCUGGAACGGUUUAUGGUCCAAAUGAUUCGUCGCCAUAGGAUGGGACUGCGGCCUAUCAGCUUGUUGGUGAGGUAAUGGCCCACCAAGGCUAUUACAGGUACGGGCUCUGAGAGGAGAAGCCCGGAGAUGGGUACUGAGACACGGACCCAGGCCCUAUGGGGCGCAGCAGGCGAGAAACCUUUGCAAUGUGCGCAAGCACGACAAGGUUAAUCCGAGUGUUUCCUGCUAAAGGAAUCUUUUGUUAGUUCUAAAACCACUGAUGAAUAAGGGGUGGGCAAGUUCUGGUGUCAGCCGCCGCGGUAAAACCAGCACCUCAAGUGGUCAGGAGGAUUAUUGGGCCUAAAGCAUCCGUAGCCGGUUCUGUAAGUUUCCGGUUAAAUCCACUAGCUCAACUAAUGGGCUGCCGGAAAUACUGCAGAACUAGGGAGUGGGAGAGGUAGACGGUACUCGGGAGGAAGGGGUAAAAUCCUUUGAUCUCUUGAUGACCACCUGUGGCGAAGGCGGUCUACCAGAACACGUUCGACGGUGAGGGAUGAAAGCUGGGGGAGCAAACCGGAUUAGAUACCCGGGUAGUCCCAGCUGUAAACGAUGCAGACUCGGUGAUGCACUGGCU